UUAAAGGAAUUGACGGAAGGGCACCACCAGGAGUGGAGCCUGCGGCUUAAUUUGACUCAACACGGGGAACCUCACCAGGCCAAGACACCCGAAGGAUUGACAGAUUGAGAGCUCUUUCUUGAUUGGGUGGGUGGUGGUGCAUGGCCGUUCAUAGUUGGUGGAUCGAUUUGUCUGCUUAAUUGCGAUAACGAACGAGAUUCUAGCCUGCUAACUAGUCGAUACCGGCAUCCUUGGUGCAGCCGGCGACCACAAAUCUUCUUAGAGGGACAGGCGGCAUUUAGCCGCACGAGAAUGAGCAAUAACAGGUCUGUGAUGCCCUUAGAUGCUCUGGGCCGCACGCGCGCUACACUGAAGGGAGCAGCGUGUCUUUUCCUUACCCGAGAGGGCCGGGUAACCCGCUGAACCCCCUUCGUGCUAGGGAUUGGGGCUUGCAAUUGUUCCCCACUAACGAGGAAUUCCCAGUAAGCGCGAGUCAUCAGCUCGCGUUGAUUAAGUCCCUGCCCUUUGUACACACCGCCCGUCGCUACUACCGAUUGAAUUAUUUAGUGAGGUCUUCGGACCAGGGCGCGGCCUCCUCGCGGUCGCCGAUGCCCCGGAAAGAUGACCGAACUUGAUUAUUUANAGGAAGUAAAAGUCGUAACAAGGUUACC
Molecule: ribosomal RNA, 650 nt
Filed under: Caribacusta caraibea
Lineage: Eukaryota; Metazoa; Arthropoda; Insecta; Orthoptera; Phalangopsidae
Description: bacterial SSU rRNA
Rfam family: Eukaryotic small subunit ribosomal RNA
Source: RNAcentral